UCUACAGCCAGUACCUAGGCCAAGUAGACCUAGAACCAAAACAGUUGAGCAAGAAUAAACGUUCUGCCCUUCUUCUUUUAACUUCUGAUUUUCCGAUACUCUUUCCGCUGCAACAAAACAUUGUUUGAAUGGGUAACCUUCAUCCAGCUUUUUUUAACAAUUGGUAGCUUAGCAACUGGCUUAAAUAUUCAGCAAUUGCGGAUGACUUGGAUUUCUUUACCUGAUGAUAGUUAAUCAAUUCUUUGUCCUUUGUUUAUGUAAAAGACCUAUUAUAGUGUGGCGAACGUAAGCUUUGCCAAUGUUUGUGUAGAUACUUAGUUUGUUCAUUCUUACCAAUUAUCAAAGAGAAGAAAUUCGAAAGUUUAUGUUUCAAAUUUUUGUGUAUUCUGUUUAAUUUAUUUCGUAUACAGCGUGAGAGGUGUUAGUAGAAGAAUACAAAAAAAAUACUGGCACACAAAAUACACCUGUUUGUCAAACUGAAUGUGAAAGUUUCGUUUAAGGCUUUGUUUCUUUUCUGUGAUUUUAAUAAAGGAAAAAGAAAAUAAAGAAUCAUUGUGAAUGAC
Limulus polyphemus (Atlantic horseshoe crab) is the source of this 563-nucleotide long non-coding RNA. RefSeq lists it as uncharacterized. The record is from RefSeq and is a predicted model, not a curated record. Lineage: Eukaryota; Metazoa; Arthropoda; Merostomata; Xiphosura; Limulidae. The transcript has 2 exons.